UGAUCUCCCGGUUCCAUGCCUG
This 22-nucleotide unclassified non-coding RNA is filed under the name Mus musculus (house mouse). RNAcentral describes it as "oocyte_clustered_small_RNA1540". The record is from RNAcentral. Lineage: Eukaryota; Metazoa; Chordata; Mammalia; Rodentia; Muridae.